This is an RNA transcript of Neopsephotus bourkii (Bourke's parrot), 4966 nucleotides long. It is a transcript of the gene named lysine demethylase 3A, with no coding region annotated. Lineage: Eukaryota; Metazoa; Chordata; Aves; Psittaciformes; Psittacidae. The transcript is spliced from 23 exons. The record is from RefSeq and is a predicted model, not a curated record.
UCUGCAGACAAUGUUGUUACAAGUGUGAAUUUCUCAAGUAUAGCUUCACUUUUGUAUUCGUAACAUGUAAUCUGAAGGGAGACUAAAUCUCCUUGUAUAGCUAGAGCUAGGCAGAGACCGUAAGCAUUUGAAGUUGGUGUGUUCUGCCUAAGAUACAGGGAUGUGUCUUUAUGACUUUGCUUCCCUCCCAAGCCUCUGUUCUGUACAAUGUUAAUUCCUUCUCCCCCUAGUCUCAUGUUUCUUCCUCCUUUCAUGAAACUGCAGCUAAGAAAAGAAAGAAAAAGUCAGUAAUAAGUUUCUAAGGAUAGCAUAUAUUUAUAUCUUAAAUCCUUGUUUUACUCUGCCUCAAGUGCUGUUAAUUCUUCAGUGAACCUUGAUCUGAGACAACAAGAAUUGGAAUGACUGAUGUGAUGGCUGCCUGGCACAGAUGAUUUGUGAGAUAUGGACUUAGUGCAUAGAAAAACCUGAGCUACACUAUACAAGCUAGAGAACUAAGCUUCCUGUAACUGCUGUGCAUGGCUGGCUAGGCAAAUGAGCUAGUGGGGACUUACAAAUCCUUAGUGGACAAAGCUGGCCUGGGAUCAAUGGUUUCAGUACGUUAUCUUGGUGAAGAGAGAUGUGUUUUUCUUUCUAAAGACCUUUUGACACCCAUUCAGGAUGUGGACAAUUCCAGGCUUCCUCUUAAGGAUGAUCAAAAUGUUAAUGAAGAAAUUCAGGCUCUGGUUAAGAAGCACCUGGAUGAAACACGCUUGGUGCAAGGUGGGAAAAACAUCAUUGGUUCAAAAAUCAGAAUUUAUAGCCUGGAUCCAUCUACUCAGUGGUUCACAGCAGUUGUUGUCAAUGGUAAUCCAACCACCAGAACUCUAGAAGUCAACUGUCAGGAGAUUCCAGCUUUAAAAACUCUCGAUCCAGAGUUAAUUCACGUUGAAAUCAUAUAUGACAGCAAUGGAAAAUCUGAUAAAUCUAAAAGAGUUGGGGGUGUGAAAAGGAAAUCAUCUGAAAACAGUGGAAGUGUUGAUGCUAAACACCCAAGAUCUUCUCCUGAGGUCUCUCCCAGUCAGGGAGCUGUGCAGUCAGUACCAACUGUGUUGGGUGAAGCAUUGCUUGGCUGUACUCCUGCUAAUAAAGACCAAAGGCAUCCAGGCCUGCCCCUGCCAGCUAAUUCACCACCCAAUCUUGGUGCAGAAACUCCUCAGGGCACAUGCAGACGAAGCUUACCAGAAACUCAUCCUUCUUGUCUUAAUACUGGAAUGAAACCACUGAAGGAGGAUCUGCCAGCCUUUCCUAAAGUGGGCUUUGUAUCUAAAGAACAAACACAAAAACUUACCGAUCCAAAUGGUAAAUAUACCUCUUUGACAACCUCAAGAUCUCCAUCUGUGACUGAUUCAGCUAAGGAAAAAGGAACCACCAUGAAAGCCACCAAUGAACCUCUUGUGAAGCCCACCACAAACUUUCCAAAACAACACACUGCUGUAAAACAGUUGCAGCAUCCAAACCCUUCCAUAGCAAUACCCCGGGGCAGCAGCACUGCUGAGCUGCAGCGGACUUUGGACUGCAGACCCUCCACCUCAGAUGCUCAUCUUCACUGUUUUACUGAGUCUGGAUUUAAAUUGCACAGCAACUGCAACAGCCACAAAGGAAACAAACCAGAUGAACUUGCAGACAUGGAGUUUUUUAUUAGAAGAAAUUCAGCUGAGAUUCUUUAUGACAGAAAUGAGAGUGAAGGCUUUUGGACUGGAAGUGCCAAGGUCCAGGAUAAUAUAAUAGUUCGCAAGUCCAUUUUAUCAGAUGCUUCUAAAGUGAAGAAGCUGCAGCAAAGUGGCGAAGCAUUUGUACAGGAUGGUUCCUGCAAUAACAUCGCACCUCACUUGCACAAAUGCAGGGAAUGCCGUUUGGAUAGCUACAGGAAGAACAAAGAGCAGAAAGACUCCACUGUCUUCUGUCGAUUCUUUCACUUUAGAAGGUUGCAGUUUAAUAAGCAUGGAAUACUACGUGAGGAAGGCUUUCUAACUCCAAAUAAGUAUGAUCCUGAGGCUAUUAGCUUGUGGCUGCCUUUAUCAAGAAAUGUUGUGGGUCUAGAUCUUGACACAGCCAAGUACAUCCUGGCCAACAUUGGAGACCACUUCUGUCAGCUGGUGAUAUCUGAAAAGGAAGUGAUGUCUACAAUUGAACCACACAGACAGGUCGCCUGGAAGCGUGCUGUUCGUGGAGUCCGAGAGAUGUGCGAUGUGUGUGACACCACAAUCUUCAACCUUCACUGGGUCUGCUCCAAGUGUGGCUUUGGUGUGUGUGUGGAUUGCUACAGGAUGAAGAAGAAAAGCUUGCACGAAGAUGAUGAGUCGGAUACUUUCUCCUGGUUUAAAUGUGUGAAGGGGCAGGUACAUGAACCAGAGAAUCUGAUGCCUACACAAAUCAUUCCUGGAAAAGCUCUCUAUGAUGUAGGUGAUAUUGUUCACUCCAUAAGAACAAAAUGGGGAAUAAAGGCUAAUUGUCCUUGUGCAAAUAAGCAGUUCAAAGCACUAUCAAAGCCAACUCUAAAGGAGGAUUCAAAACAGAACUUGGUACCUGGAGAAAGGACCAGCCUUCAACAUAACAGCUUUGUCCUGAGCCCACAGGUCACUACACACGAUCCUCCUCUAAAGUCAGCAAUUGGAAGUAAACAAAGUGUGUCAGUAAAUACUCCUCCUUCAUUAAGCUGGUUAUCAAAUCUAACAAGUGGAAACGUGAAUAAAGAAAACAAAGAGAAACUCCUCAUACCUAUUCCAAAGAAUGAGAACAAACCUCUCCAGACACUCCCUAGUUUAGCCAAGCCUGCUGCAGCCCUGCAGACAUUCAACAGUGCAAUACUGACACCCGUGAGCAACAACAACACAGGCUUCUUGAGGAACCUGUUGAACUCUUCUGGAGGAAAGACAGACAACGGACUCAAGAGUACACCCAAAAUCCUUGAUGACAUUUUUGCUUCCCUGGUGCAAAACAGAACCAUUACAGACCUGCCUAAGAAACCUCAAGGACUCACUAUAAAGCCUACAAUCAUGGGCUUUGACACACCACACUACUGGUUAUGUGAUAACCGCUUGCUGUGCCUGCAAGACCCCAACAAUGAAAGUAACUGGAAUGUCUUCAGGGAGUGCUGGAAGCAGGGACAGCCUGUAAUGGUGUCAGGAGUGCAUCACAAAUUAAAUGCAGACCUCUGGAGACCAGAAUCCUUUAGGAAAGAAUUUGGCCAACAGGAAGUGGAUCUGGUUAACUGCAGGACCAACGAAAUCAUCACUGGAGCUACUGUAGGAGACUUCUGGGAUGGAUUUGAAGAUAUCUCAAGUCGCCUGAGAACAGAAGAAGGAGAACCAAUGGUGCUGAAGCUUAAAGACUGGCCUCCAGGAGAAGACUUCAGAGAUAUGAUGCCUUCUCGGUUUGAUGAUUUGAUGAAAAAUAUUCCCUUGCCAGAAUACACCAGAAGGGGUGGCAAGCUCAACCUUGCCUCUCGACUGCCCAACUACUUUGUACGACCAGAUUUGGGCCCCAAGAUGUACAAUGCCUAUGGCUUAAUAACACCAGAGGAUAGAAAAUACGGCACAACAAACCUCCAUUUAGAUGUGUCUGAUGCAGCCAACGUUAUGGUUUAUGUGGGUAUCCCCAAAGGCCAGGCAGAUCAAGAAGAAGAAGUGCUUAAAACCAUACAGGAUGGUGAUUCUGAUGAACUGACCAUUAAGCGCUUUACUGAAAGCAGAGAGAAACCUGGAGCUCUGUGGCACAUUUAUGCUGCCAAAGAUACAGAGAAGAUCCGGGAAUUCCUUAAAAAGGUUGCAGAGGAACAAGGUCAAGAAAACCCUGUUGAUCACGAUCCCAUUCAUGACCAGAGCUGGUACCUGGACCGGUCGCUAAGAAAACGCCUUCAUCAGGAGUAUGGAGUUCAAGGCUGGGCUAUUGUACAGUUUCUAGGAGAUGUAGUUUUCAUUCCAGCAGGAGCUCCACACCAGGCAAGGCCCAGGGGCACUCUUCCAGCCUGACCCUGUGGGCAGAGAGCUCUGAGCACAGCACUAACGCUUGUGUUUGUUCUCUCUAGGUUCAUAAUCUGUACAGUUGUAUUAAAGUUGCAGAAGACUUUGUAUCCCCAGAGCACGUCAAACACUGCUUCUGGCUCACUCAGGAAUUUAGGUAUCUGUCACAUACGCAUACGAACCACGAAGAUAAAUUGCAGGUGAAGAAUGUCAUCUACCACGCUGUUAAAGACGCGGUUGGGAUACUGAGAGCCAACGAAUCCAGCCUUAGCAGACCGUGAAGCAGAAAGCCUUAACCACACACACUGAAACAGAAGCACUGGCAGCUCUUUUACCUACUCAGUCAGGACCUCUGUGGACUUUUGAGCUUCUAUGAAUGUUACCUCAUCUUCCUUUCAGCAGUACCAGAGGCUCGUGGUACUAUAUUCUGUGUAUUCUUCCAAUGUUUACAAACCUGAUAUGUAUAUGUAGUAAUAUGUAUGGACUGUGGCAUACUGUGAAUGCUCAGCUGCAAUAGAACUUUAUACGGAGUCGCUCUCCAAACUGUACAAAAAUACCUCCUUAGAGAACUGUUGGGAAACUAUUCCAAAUUCCCUGUUUGAAAAAGAACAUUAUUUCAAGGCAUUGUAAAGCUCCAGUUUUUCACAUGUAUUUUGGGGUGGGAGAGGAAGCAGGAGUCACCCAGUUUAAUAACUGAUUUCCUUUUUUUCCUGUAAGAAUGCAGUUCUGGAAUUUCACAUUAACAUAGAACUAGCAUUUAAAAGUAGCUUUAAGCUAUUGUAUAGGAACAUAGAGACGGGGGUUAAACCAUCUUUAGAUAAAUGUAUUUAAAUUUCUAAAUGUUAAAAAAACAAAGACACUUUUAAUCAAAACAGCUUCUGUUUGAAACUGCUCUUUCAGUUGAACUGAUGUUUGAUUCCCUGGUUUUUAACACUGAAUGGUCUACAUAAAACUCUUCUAUUUCA